Leptopilina boulardi is the source of this 1437-nucleotide long non-coding RNA. RefSeq lists it as uncharacterized. The transcript is spliced from 3 exons. The record is from RefSeq and is a predicted model, not a curated record. NCBI's taxonomy places the organism in Eukaryota, Metazoa, Arthropoda, Insecta, Hymenoptera, Figitidae.
UAGGAGGCGAAAAAAUCAUUUUAUUCGAAUCUUCGAACUAUGGGUGAACUAUGGGCAAAGUAUGGCGAAGUAUGGGAUGCGAGAAAAUCUUUUUUUUUCAAUCUUCCAACUUCCAACUUCCUCCAAUCUUCCAUAGUUGGCCCAUAGUUCGCCCAUAGUUCGAAAAUUUAAAAAAAAGUGUUUUUUUCGCCUCCCAUACUUCGCCAUACUUGGCCCAUAGUUCGCCCAUAGUUCGAAAAUUUAAAAAAAAGUUGUUUUUUUCGCCUCCCAUACUUCGCCAUACUUGGCCCAUAGUUCGCCCAUAGUUCAAAAAUUAAAAAAAAGUGUUUUUUUCGCCUCCCAUACUUCGCCAUACUUGGCCCAUAGUUCGCCCAUAGUUCAAAAAUUUAAAAAAAAAUUUUUUUUUCGCCUCCCAUACUUCGCCAUACUUGGCCCAUAGUUCGCCCAUAGUUCAAAAAUUUAAAAAAAAGUGUUUUUUUCGCCUCCCAUACUUCGCCAUACUUGGCCCAUAGUUCGCCCAUAGUUCGAAAAUUUAAAAAAAAGUUGUUUUUUUCGCCUCCCAUACUUCGCCAUACUUGGCCCAUAGUUCCCCCAUAGUUCGAAAAUUUAAAAACAAGUGUUUUUUUCGCCUCCCAUACUUCGCCACACUUGGCCCAUAGUUCGCCCAUAGUUCGAAAAUUUAAAAAAAAGUGUUUUUUUCGCCUCCCAUACUUCGCCAUACUUGGCCCAUAGUUCGCCCAUAGUUCGAAAAUUUAAAAAAAAGUGUUUUUUUCGCCUCCCAUACUUCGCCAUACUUGGCCCAUAGUUCCCCCAUAGUUCGAAAAUUUAAAAAAAGUGUUUUUUUCGCCUCCCAUACUUCGCCAUACUUGGCCCAUAGUUCGCCCAAAGUUCAAAAAUUAAAAAAAAGUUUUUUUUUCGCCUCCCAUACUUCGCCAUACUUGGCUCAUAGUUCGCCCAUAGUUCAAAAAUUUAAAAAAAAGUGUUUUAUUCGCCUCCCAUACUUCGCCAUACUUGGCCCAUAGUUCGCCCAAAGUUCAAAAAUUAAAAAAAAGUUUUUUUUUCGCCUCCCAUACUUCGCCAUACUUGGCCCAUAGUUCGCCCAUAGUUCGAAAAUUUAAAAAAAAGUGUUUUUUUCGCCUCCCAUACUUCGCCAUACUUGGCCCAUAGUUCCCCCAUAGUUCGAAAAUUUAAAAAAAAGUUUUUUUCGCCUCCCAUACUUCGCCAUACUUGGCCCAUAGUUCGCCCAUAGUUCAAAAAUUAAAAAAAAAGUGUUUUUUUCGCCUCCCAUACUUCGCCAUACUUGGCCCAUAGUUCCCCCAUAGUUCGAAAAUUUAAAAACAAGUGUUUUUUUCGCCUCCCAUACUUCGCCACACUUGGCCCAUAGUUCGCCCAUAGUUCGAAAAUUUAAAAAAAAGUGUUUUUUUCGCCUCCCAUACU